This 468-nucleotide ribosomal RNA is filed under the name uncultured bacterium. RNAcentral describes it as "partial 16S ribosomal RNA". It matches the Rfam family "Bacterial small subunit ribosomal RNA", at positions 28 to 507 of the family's 1533-position model. The record is from RNAcentral.
GACGAACGCUGGCGGCGUGCUUAACACAUGCAAGUCGAACGGAAAGGCCCUGCUUUUGUGGGGUGCUCGAGUGGCGAACGGGUGAGUAACACGUGAGUAACCUGCCCUUGACUUUGGGAUAACUUCAGGAAACUGGGGCUAAUACCGGAUAGGAGCUCCUGCUGCAUGGUGGGGGUUGGAAAGUUUCGGCGGUUGGGGAUGGACUCGCGGCUUAUCAGCUUGUUGGUGGGGUAGUGGCUUACCAAGGCUUUGACGGGUAGCCGGCCUGAGAGGGUGACCGGCCACGUUGGGCCUGAGAUGCGGCCCAGACCCCUCCGGUAGGCAGCAGUGGGGAAUAUUGCACAAUGGGCGGAAGCCUGAUGCAGCCACGCCGCGUGCGGGAUGCCGGCCUUCGGGUUGUAUACCGCUUUCGCCUGUGCCGAAGCGUGAGUGACGGUAAUGGGUAAAGAAGCACCGGCUAACUCCGUG